UUUUUUUUUUUUUUUAAAAUAUCAUGCCUGUUGAGGUUCUCUUGGGUCUCCUUCCUUGGGAGCCUUUCUCUCAUAUUUAUAAAGCAUGUCUGUGAUGUGUUAGGGGUAUAUUUUCUCAAUUACGUCCCUCUUUAGGUUCGAUAUAUAUCCUUAAAUAUAUUUCUUAGGUAGAAUGCGCUUUAAUCUCGUCGCCUCAUGAGGUGGUGUGGACUGAUGGGAUCAACUCGUGUGAGGACCACCUCACGAGGUGUCGAUAGUUGUGUGACACUUACACAUGAACUCCCUCGUACUUAUUUGAUGAGGUGGUCUCGUGAGGUGAUGAGAUGAGCAACAUUUUGCAAGAACCUCAUGAAGUGAUGAGGUGCGUGACAUUGGUGACCUUGCGAAGUGGCGAGAUGCGGAAUAUGGCCUCGCAAAAUGGAUCGGGCUUCAUGUACUAAGAACAAUUAAAUUUUGGAUUGUAAAGUAUUUUAUAAUAAUGUCUAAAUUAUUUAUAACUCUUAAAAAGCUUAAAAUUGAAGAAAAUAUACUUUUAAAUGCAUUUCUAAUACUGUUUAUUCGUGCACUUUUUCUAAAGAAUUAUUAUUUUUCGUAAUAUACAUUAAUUCAUUAUUGAUAUUAUAUAUCACGUUUUCUUUAAAUACAACAAUCAUGCUGUAAUAUUUUAUAGUGCAUAUGGGCCAAAAAAAAAUGAUGUAAAAAUUAUUUAAUUGAAUUAAUGUUAGAUUGAUUAGUUACAUCAAAUUUAAUAAAAAAUUAAAUUAAAUUUUAGUAUAGAUAUACAAGUGAAGAAAAGUUUAAUUUUUGCUUGUAGAUACAAGUUCAAAUAUUUGAUUAGUUGCAACUUUACCAAGUAACAAGUGAAAGAAAGUAAAAGCUCAUACAAAAAAAACUUAGGUUAUUUAAAUUAGUUUUUUUAUAUAUAUGCAAGUCCUUAUCUAGAGAGUUAACCUAUUAUUUUUCAGUAAGCACAAGUAAUGAUUUAAGUCCUAUACAUUCACCAUGCAAUAUCUUCACCUUCAUACGUAAAUUUGGAUCAUUCUCUACUAAGAUUUUCUCCUCACUCGUGUUUAUUUACAAAAUGUGAACACUUGCAAUACAGGUUCAAACCCAAUUCUUAACCUGUUAACCCCUUCCUUUAAACAUCAGGCUACACAAAUGCUUAAGCUAUUUUGUGUCAAAAAAUCUAUAAACCCAUCCUAUAGCAGUAAAAGGAAAACUAGAGAAAUUUGUCGGUAGAAGAAAUUGAACGUAUAACCUUGGCUAAUCACCAACUACUCUGACCACUUCAAGACAUUUUAUCCUUAUGUGCCAAGAAAUUUAUAGACACAUGUUUAUUCGAAUAUGAUCAAAAAAAUUUUCUCGAGGAUUGAAUAUCAUAUUUAUUUACUGAUGUUUUAGAUAUAAGAUGCAGAGAUUUGUAGACAGUUUUUAUUUAUUUAUUUUAUAUUUAGAUUUAUUUUAAUUUUAUUUCAUAAUUAAUUAUAAUUAAUUCGAUUAUUUUAUUUUAUUUUUAUCUUUUUGAGUAUGAUGAAAAAUUUGAUCUCAACAUUAAUUUUAACCCUUGAUUUUGAAUUUAUCAAAAAAUUUUAUAUUGGUAAGGAGUUUUAACUUUUUUUCUAAUUAAGAUGAUUAUUAUUUAUUUUAAAUCUGAUCUAAUUAUUAAGUUAAAUUAUUGAAUACUAAUGGGUUUAUAAGGUUUAUUAAUAAACUUUUGUAAUAUAUUAUUUUCAAAUGAUUUUCUAAUAUUUUCAAAUAUUUGAAAAAAUUGUUGUACGGUAAUAUAUUUUUUAAUAUUUUAAAAGCAUGGGCCUUGAUAGAAAUAUAUUAAUAUAAUAUUAUUUUAUAUUUGAGUACAUAUGUUAUUUUUUCUUUGAGUUAUUUCAAAAAUUUGUUGAUUGUUUAAAUAUAUAUUGACUGUCGACUAUAACAUUUUGUGAUAUUGAUUCUUUUUAAAUAAAGAAUAUAUUGUGAUAUUUAAAAGUCCACCCUAUUAUCUCUUUUGCGUUCCUCAAGAUAACUCUUCAAAUGAUAGAUAUAACUUAUGCUAUUAAUGUGAUAUGAAAGAUCAUCAAUCACGUAUCUAUCAUACGUUCGAAUAUUUUAUUCAACUAUGUUAAUAUUUGGUACUAAAACAAACCGAUAUUAUUGCAAUAUUCGAUAGUGCAAAAUUAGUUGAAAGCUCCAGAAGAGCUAAUAUAUCAAUAUAUAAAUGAACAAAAAUUGUAAUGGUUAAUGUAUUAGCUUUAAAAGAUAUUCUUUGUAAAAGAUUUCAUAAUGAGAAUGUGAAUGGAGAAAAUAUUAUAUUUUGUAUGAAUCACUCUUGCUAUAAAUAUCUAUUCACUUUUUUUUUUAUAGAGAAAGAUUCAGUUGUUGAAUUGUAUUAUGCAUGAUACUUGAUACCUAUCUUUAUUUUGAAAAGAAUAGAGAAAGAUUUGAUUGUGAAAGAUCUACUUAAUUUAAGAGAAAUAUAUGACCAUUGAAAUGUGCACCUGAAGUUGUAAGAUCUCCUAUCUAAAGCUUCUUAUGAUUGAAUGGACUUGAAGUUGCAAGACUUUAAAAUUGUGAGUUAGUAUAAUAACUCUACAAUGUUUAAGAUAAGUUCUCAAUUAAAAUUAUGUAGGAGAAUAAAGAAAAUUUUUUCAACUUUUCAUACUUCAAAUGUGCUAUUAAAUAACAAGCUAAAAUGAAAAAGAAAAAUCCCAUAAAGUCCGUUCUAUUAGAUUUGCCCCAUUCUCUGAAGAGAUUGUAGCAAUAUAUAAAUACGUAACUCUGAAGAGAACGUAGCAAUAUAUAAAUACGUAAUCUUUAAUGUAGAUGUAGUAAGUGACUAUAUAACAAUCGUACAAGAGAUUAUCAUAUUAAUUCUUUUCACCAUCAAAAGUGAAAAAAAUGAAGAUAAAUAAGACAAGAACAAGAAUUCUUAAGAGAACCCUUUAAGGGGUGAAGAUAACUCAUGUUAUCGAUGUGUUUUUAAAGGCCUUGGUUGCGUACCUAUCGUAUGCCUAAACAUUAAAUAUGAAUUGCAUCAUUUUUAUGGGAUGUGACGCUAAUUAAUUAAUUAAUAGAUUUCUUACUAAUAAUAGUUCUUCUUACCACUAGCUAGAAUUGAAGAUACAGAGAUAAAUAAUAGAACAACAAGAGCUCUCAAUAUAACUCUUCAAAUACGAGAGACAACUUAUGAAAAUUAGUUGGUUCUAUACUUGUUGUAUACAUGAACAUCUUAUUAUUCAAUUAAUAUUCCUUAAAAAGAAUGAAACAUUAGUCCAGUAGACAAUACAACAAUGCAUAUUAUCUUUUGGAAUAAAAUACAUUUUUCUUGUUGGUAAUGAAACAAACCAAUCUUGGUGCUACAAAAUUAAUUUAGCCUUUAUAAGAGCUAAUAUACUGUUAACCUAUGUUCAACGUGGUUGUUACAACCAAUUUCGGCCUGGCCAACAAAAUAUAACAAAACCCAAAACAAUAAAAAAGAGUCCAAAAUAAAUAGCCCAUUUACAAUAUUAAAUAGCCCAAUUUACAUCAAACCCUAGCCCAAAUAAUAGCCAACUUGCUUAAGAUUUUUCAGCAGCAAACCCUUCCCCAAGAUGCAGCAGCCGCUCAGCCCCCACGUGCGCCGCCUCGCUUUCUCACCAGCCAACCACCGGCUUUUCACACCUCUGACACCUGCAAUCAAAUCCAACACAACAACAGAGAGCAUGCAGAAGAAAUAAAUAGCUAAAGAACAAAAAACAUGGAACGAACGGUUUGUAAAUUGGCUUUUAAAAGCCAAAAUCUAUCAUUUGUAAUCGGUUACGAACACUGGAAAUAAAAAAAAAAACACAAAAGGUUGAUAUCUGAUUCUUCUCUCUUUAUUUUCAUUUCGUUUCUUUUUAUUUCUCUAAUAUUUCUUUUGAUUUUAAUACAAAUCUAUUAAAUAAAAGUAGACAUAAAACAAAAAUAAUGAGGGAAGAAGGCCUUACCGGAAUCGCUCGUCGUCUCGUCGCCGGAGGGUUUUCCUUCGUCGUCGGGAUCGGGCCGAAUAAGGAGGGGAAGACUUUUUCUUUCGCAACUUUUGGGCUGAGAAGGCUCAGCCUUCGGGGACGCCUUGAAACAGGGCUUAAAGCCCGCCCUCGCGCGUCGUCGGCCGUCGUGUUCAAUGGCGGUGCGGCAGUGGGACGAUGCCUUUCUUGGUCGGCCAAACAAAAGGCUACAAGGAAGGAGAGAAAGGCUGCUUUUUUUUUUUCUUCUUUUUUAAAAACCUAAGGCUAAAAUGAAACAAGCACAAAAUUUGGCCUUUUAUCAGGCUACAAAAUGGUACCGUUUAGAAAGGGGAGGGGUCCGCAUGUCUCCCUUGAAUGGGAAAUUGCCCACUUUGGCCCCUCCCCCUUUUCUGACCCUUGAUUUGAUCAUGAUUUGCGUUUUUUUUAUCCUUUCAAAUAGCGCCCAAUUAUUUUAUUUCAUUGCUAAUUUGGUCCCUGACCUAGACAAAUUAAACGUUGCGCAUAAGGGGUUGGGGAAAAUUUCCCAACCAAUCCCUUGAGGUUUCGGCACGUUUUAAAUAAAUCUAUUACCCUUCUUUUCCUUUCUGAAUUCUCCCUUUAAUUUUAUUUAGAUUUUAAUUUAGUCUUUUUAAUAUUCACAUUUAUUUUAUUCGAAUUUGGACCCUUAAUUUUCAUUUUCAUUUGUAAUUUCACCCUUUUUUUCAUAUCAAUCUAGACCUUUCUUUUAUUUAUUUAUCUUAAACUAUUUUCAUUUACCUUAAACUUGAUAUAUUAUACUGUUUUAAAUUGUCUUAGAUAUAUAUUAUUUCAAAUUAUUUCAUAUACUUUAAAUUGCUUUAUCCAUUAUUUAUUUUAAAUCCGUUAAAUGUAUUAUUCAUCCUAAAUUGUUUUAUUAUGUAUUCUAAAAUUUUCCUUUUUUCUCUAUUAUUACUUCCAAAUUUCUAUAUGUGUUAUCCAUUUUUAUAUAUACCCUUUUUAAAUGUUUUGUAUGUUACUUAUUUUAAAUUUCUAUCUACAUAAUAUUCAUUUUUGACUUAUUUUUAUUAUUCAUCAUAAACUAUCUUAUAUAUUAUCUAUUUUAUACUGUUUUGGUUUUACAUAUCAUUUUGAAUUAUUAUACACAUGUUAAUCGUUUUACAUUGCUUUUCAUUUAUUUAUUUUAGACCUUUUUAUAUAUAAUUUUUGAAUUACUUAUUAUUUUAAAUUUAUAUAAUGUUUAUUCUUAAACUGCCUUUUUGUAUAGGGCAUUUAUUUUCAAACUUUCAUAUGUUUUAAUCUUAAACUCUUUGUACAUUGUUUAUUUUUUUAUGCAUGUAUUUAUGAUAAGUUUUUAUACUAUGUAUAUUAUUUAUUUUGAACUUCUUUUUAUGUAUUAUGAUUUUAAACUUUUCAUUAAUGAUUUUAGAUUUUUUUUACCUACUUUAAGCUGCCUUUAUAGUAUUUAUUUUAAAAUCCUUUAUGUAUAUAUAUAUUUUAUAUUUAAGAUUAUCUAUUUGUUUGAUUUAAAUCAUUUUAUAUUAUUACCUCAUUUCUGUGUUUAUUAAGCUUGUUAUUUAAUUGACAUGUGUUAAGUUAUUGCCAUUGUGUGUGUUAUAAUUCGUUUAUUCAUAUUUCCACUAUUUUCAUUUGCUCGCGUAAUACUUUAUUCAUGUAUCAUCACUCUAUGUCGCAUCAUAUUUUUAUUUUUCAUUAUCGCCUUAUGAAUUAAAUUUCGCUACAUUUAUCCAAUAAAUCGCUUAGUUUUAACCUAAACAAAUGACGUACAUCGUUUAAAUACUACCUUUGCUACUAUUCAAAAACUAGAAUUUCAAAGUAAGGCAAUGUUUCGCAUUUUGGAACAUCCGGGAAUUGUGCCCUAACUUACGGGGUUUCAAUUUUCUCAUUGUUUCUAAAUGGCAAAUAUCCUUUUCAAGUUUUAAAACACAUGAAUUUCCAAUUAAAAGUAAAGACGACCUUGUGCUCGGGAGUUCAUGGUAUUGUGUCCUAACUUACGGGAUGUGAUACUCCGAUAUCUUGAGAUAAGGAAAUCUUUAAACAAUUGAUUUAAGCUAAUUCAAGAAUUUUAAAAUCAAUAUUAAUAGAAAAGAUCGCAUUUCAAAUUCAUUUUCGAUUUUCGACAUUAAGACACUAACUAAUCAAUUCGGUACCAAUUUUUGGGCGUGUCGGGGGCGCUAAUCCUUCCUCACACGUAACCGACUCCCGAACUUGUUCUCUUGAAAUUCGUAGACCAAAAUGCCGUUUUAGUAAAAUAAAAUUGUUUUAUUAGAACAAAGGUGAUCUGAUCACACCAAAUAAAGAUCGGUGGCGACUCCCGUUUUAAUUUUCGUUUUCAAACUAAGUCGAUUCCCGUUUUCAAAAAUGGUUUCGAUAGUGGUAAUGAAACAUGUUAAUUUUUCGUAGUACAAAGUUAAUUCAAGGCUCCAGAAGAGUUAAUGCAUUGUUAUCUAAAGAAACAAAGUGAUAACUAAUAUAUCAUGUUCUAGCCAGUCUCAAAGAAAUUAUGUUUUAAAAGGAUAUACGUUGUAACAUAUACCAUAUUGAGAUUAUGAGUGAGGAAACAAUUGAUUUCUAUAUAUUACAUCUAUUAUAUUGGGUAAGAAUUUUGUAUUGGAAAAUUACUUUCUUUCCUCUAGUUUAUGUUAGACAUAUAUUAGUAUGGUUAAAUCACAUGAGAUGGUAAACCAAAAGUUACUAGAAGUUUACAUUAGUAUUGUUGAAUUACGUGCAUAGUAAACCAAAAGUUUACUAGUCCAAAUACGUUAAUUAGUUGACAUGAUCGGUUAGACCAUCGUGAUUAAUAAUGAUGUGAAAAAAUGAGAAUUUACAUAAAAAUUUAUUAAAGAACCUGAAGAUUCUUUAUUUUAAAGAUUUUUUAAGUGUUUAUUAGAACCUCACUAACAAAAGUUGAUAUUGAAUCUUUAGUGUUUUUGAAAGAAAUAAAAGCCCAUUUUUCCAACAAGUGAAUGUUUUGAUAUAAUUUUAGAUGCACUUACAAGUUAAUCACAUGUGAGUUAUCAACUCGUAACCUGUAAUUUGCGAAAUUACUUGUUUAAUGAUUUGUUUACGAAAAAACUUUUAGAUUACGCAAUCGAGACAAUUCUUACUAAUGUUGGUAAUUUUAUUACACAGGCUUUCAAUUAUUAUCAUAUGUUAGCUUAUUAGUGUGAGUAACUAUUGCAAAAUGUUAUUGUUUAUACAUAUGAAAUGGUUUAGCAAAAUUAAUGAUUAAAUGCCUCCGAUUAAUAGCUAAACCAUUACUUUUGAAAACGAAACUCUUUGUAUAUAUGUAUAAGGAUAUGAUAUUUUACAUGAAUCGGUACUUGUACGUAUAAUGCCAAUAAGUUAUGAUAAAUAUUUCCAAUAUAAUUAACUUUAGGUCAGGAGCUAAAUAUAACCCAUUAAAUUUUGUUGUGUAUGAUGUAUGUUCAAGUUGUUUCGCCGCAAGGCACAAAAUGAUAUUUAAAGAAAGUUGGGAAUAUAUAUUAAUUAUGAAUCUCCUUAUAUUAUUAGAUGUUUUGAUCAAAUUGAAGAUUCAAUUAUGAUAUGACUUGGUGAUUAUUAUCUUGAUUUAACAGUUUUUUCAACAUUAGGGGAGAGAAAUAAUAAUUGGAUCAAAUAAUUACUUGAAAUGGAUUACUGUUAUUUUUAUCAUCAUAGAAAGUAAUUUAAACCAGAAGUUCAAGAAGAUAAUUCAUUUUAUUACAACUUAAUUGUCAAAUGCAUUUACUGACUUGAUGAAAAUAAUCAAGUGUUAUAUAUCAACUAAUGUUUUGAUUUGAGUUGAAGUCCAGUAGGACAACUUGUUAGAGUAAUUGAAGGUAAUGCAUGCUCAAAACAUGGUAGUUCAAUUGGUUUCAAAUAUGAAAAUUCUUAUAAUAAAAAUAAAUAAAUCUAGAUGAUCAUAUAGUGAAGAUGGUGCUCCUGAAGUGACUUAAGACAUAACUAAUUAUUAGAACUCUAGAAGAGAUUCAAGUACCUAAAAUUGAAGAUGAAAAUAGUGAAAAUAAUGAAAUUUUAAUAAGUUAUGUCAAAACGAUAAAAUAUGGAACCGUGAAAAAUGAAAAGUUGUUAAUAACGUUUUUUGCAAUCUUGAAAUAAUGAGAGAUAAAUGGGAUUUUGAAUAAAUUUGUCAAGAAAUACAAGAUAUGAAAUAUAUUGGUCAAAAUGAAAAAAACACAAUUAAAGUAGAAUUAAAUUCGUGAAGUUUCUGGACCGGUAGUCCAAAUGUCUAAAUGUAUAAAGUUAGUGGAGUACAAAUGAAUAGUUUUGUGAAAAUAAAAUAAGAAAAUGAAGUUUUUUUUUAAAGUCCUAGCAAUGAUUAUGAAAAUAUAUUCUUUUGUUGUGGAUGUAGUAACCUUUAAAUAUAUCAUUAGUUUGGCAGUUUAUAAAAUUUUUAGCAUGUGUCUUAUGAUUGUUGUUAUAAUAUUUAUAUGAAUCACUAUAUAGAGGAAGUUUAUAUUAAAAUCCUUUAAGGAUUUAGAAUGUUGGAAGCAUAUAUAAAUUCUUGAGAAAUUGUUCAAUACAAUUUUGUAAAUACUUAUAUGAAUUGAUUUGAACAUGUAUAUUAGUAUAGAUAAUUAUGAUAAAAGUUUUGCUAUGAUUAUUGUCAAGAAGAAAUUAAAAUAUAUUUUCUCAAAAUUUUUUCCCACUCAUGAGAUUCAGAAUAAUGAUGAUAUAAAUAUUUUGCAAAAUCGUUUAAGUAAUUUUUGAAAAGCUAGGUAAAAUUUAAACAUUCUACUUUUUUUUUCAUUUUCUUUUUUUUACAAAAUUAAUAAAUAAAAAUACUUUCUCUUUUACCCACUCAAUUUCUUAACAAAAAUGAUAUAGUAACAUUUUAUAAUAAAUAAAUGAUUACCCAACAUUCUACAUCCAUAACAGAAUUUAACCCCAUUAAUGUCGAAAUAUAGCUUAAAAGAAAAUAUAUUCCUAGAAAUAACUUCUCCUCAAACCCAUGAAUCAUGAUGGUAACUUUUCUUUUUUCUGGUUAAUAGAACCCAUGUUGGUAUUUAAUUUUAGAUUUUGUUAUAUUCAAAUAAAAGUUGCCCAGUUGAAUGAAUUUUAUCAAAGACUUUCGUAUUUUUUUUUAAAUAAAAAGAAUAUCAUGAAUUUAAAGUGAACGUAAAUUAAGGAGAAAAUUUUGGACUUUGGAGAGGAUUUACACUGUAAAAACAAGCGUCCCUCGCACUCUUCUUCUCUCUCUGACUUUGUUGUAAGCAAUUCUGUAGCACUUUUGUCGUUUGAUUAUAUAUCCCAUAGUCGAAGCUGUCGUUUUAUGAUCAGACUCCGCCAUUGACGACUCAAAAAAGAAGUAUCCUUUCUUGAUGAUCCAACUGGUAAAACAACGAGAAAAAGUUAAACCCUUCCUUUUUUACCUUCUUUUCAUCGGAACUCUCAGUUGUCUUUUUUCCUUGCAAAAUUUCUUCCUUUUUUUUUAAAAAAAAUUGUUACUAUUUCCCUAGUGCUGAAUCUUAUCUUUCUUUGCAUUUUUCUAAAUUUUCUUUCUUUUUUCUCGUAUUGCCAUCUAAUAGUUACCUCGAUUUUGUGUUGCUCUCUUUGGCAAUGCUCACCAUUUUCCUGCUAGAUCAACUUUUCACCAUAAUUUGUUGGCUGAUUUUAAGAAGUUCAGUUACAAAAUUCCUUUUUUCUGACUCAAAUGUCUUCAUUUAACUUAACUAGAUAUAAACCUCAUAAUUCAUCUGUGUUCUGUUCGUAUAUUUAAUAUAUAUUUUUUAUAAAUUGUGGGAUGUUAACAAUUCGAACCAUAUAGAUUUUUGUUCAUGUAUCGUGUUGUGUUUCUAGUUUCUUUCUAAAUUAUGUUGUGUUAGACAGAAAAGAGUGGUGGCAUUGACAGAGUAGUUCGGUGCUUCAGUUUGAAUUACAUUUCAUGGCUUAGGUUUUGGAACCCUUUUUCUUUUUUGUUAUGUGUAUAUUGCAUGAUUUGUGCUCAUUUUCCAGUCUUUUCCGUUUUGCAGGAUGAUCGAGCCUUGCGAUAUAUGCGGUGAUAUAGGCUUUGUAGAGGAUAUCGUAACUUGCUUUGAGUGCAAAUUUGCAAGGGAACACGGGUGCGGUUAUUCUUACCUCUUGCCUUACGUUUGGUUUCACUUGAACUGCUCGCCUUUUUGUUUUAAAUUCUGCUUUUUGAUUACCAUGUUUAUCGUUAAAUUUUACGAACACGGUUAUUUUGGAAACCUCAGUUUAGGUCCCCGAGAUUGAUCACUAACAUUGAAGUAUACCCUGUUUUCUCGUCCCCCCCCCCUCCCCCCUGCUUUCAGCUAUUGCAUGCGCGAAGUUCUCUUGACUAUCCCCGAAAUUUGGUUCUGUGAAGAGUGUAGGUUAAGCAAGGCCAUACUUCCCGAGUCUGUUACAGAGGAAGAUGUUCCUAUGUCUUCCACUUCAAUUACUUCUGAAAGUGUCUGUACCAGCCCGCUUUCGCACAAACCAGUUGAUCAAGAAAAUGAAAAGGCUUCAAAAUCAAACACCUCUGAGACUUUGAAUCCAGAAGCGUUACUUGAGAAUCAAAAGAUAUUAGGUUCUGCUUGUAAGCAAGGGGCUGCUACAGUUGGGAAUGUGAAGAAGUCAUCAGUUUCAACAAAAUCUGAACAUUUAGUGAGAAAUUUGGUAUCAGGUCUUGAUCAUUUGAGUACCAUGGAAACUGCAUCGAAGAGCAGUCCAACAAGGUUGAAAGUUGCUUCUGCAAAGGCAUCCAUAAAGAAAUUUAAAGCAAGUCAUGAUCAUAGAAAAGUACGACAUAGCGGUUCAAAGGUCUGCUCGACGACCCCACAGAAAGCAAUCCAAACAUCAAAAACUUUAAAAGGUGAGAAAGCGCUUUGCAUGCAUUUGUUGAUGAUUGAAGCAUUUAUUGAAACUGACAAUUGAAUCUGCAUAUUCAUAUUUAGUUCCUAUGCAUUAUUUAUAUUCAAACCUUGAUUUUCGUUUGAUCAUAUUGCCUAUAAUACAUUAUAUCACUUAUGGUUCUUAGUCAAUGAAAAGAUGCAGUUUGUUCUAAAUUGAAUCAAUUCAUGAACGGUGCUUCCUUUAAUUUCGUGUGCGUUAAUAGAUAUCUUAUAUACCUAAUAGUCUAAUGUGGCUACUCUUAUGAUUUCUGUUUUGGAUGAAGAAACUUCUGCUACAUAUGAAAAAGAGACACAUGAUACUAAUGUGCUCAGUGAAAAGAUCGAAACCUCACUUUCACAACAAAGGGAUGGUGAGGAUGUCUCUCCUGAGGGAUCAGCUAGCUUACCUGUAAAUACGAUAGCGAGCACUUUAACCAAGUCAGAUCUAGAAAAGAUAGCUAUGGAGUAUCACAUAGACACUAAUAGGUACCAUCUUUCUCUUCCUAAAUCAUCCGAGAGAGCAAAUUCGUAUUUCCCAUGUAAACACACAUUUUGCAUCUAUGCUGAUGCCUUUAAGGCCGGGCUUCGUCUUCCUCUUCAUCCUCUAAUUUCGGAGAUCCUCAGUGAGUUCAGUGUUGCUCCUACUCAGAUUCCUCCAAACUCGUGGAGGGUACUGAUUUGUUUUAUUUCUUUCUGUUAUUCUCAAAAAAUAACUCCUACGGUGAACCUCUUUCGUGCAAUCUGCUCUCUCAAAGAUCACUCUGGGGAGAGCAACAAGGGGUGGUGGUUCUUUAGUGCUCGGAUUGGAUUCAAGCUGUUUGAGGGUUUUCCGAGCUCCAUCAAGGGAUGGAGGCAUAGGUUUUUUAUAAUUCGAACAUCUGAGAGAGACACAUUAGGCCUUAACACGAAGUGGGGCCCUCCCAAUAGUGCGGCAAAUCAGUUGCCAACUCUUUCAGCUAUCGAGGUCAAAUCACUGGAUAACCUUGUAGCUGCAGCGACCAACAACCCACCUGACAUUAGAGUUUUGUUAUCGGAAGAGGCCUUGAUUCAAGCUGGAAUCAGUUCAACAAUACUAAAACCGAAGGGGUCCAAUGGUGGUAUGGUCGAUAUACUCAACUCCAUUAUUUUCCUUAAUGUUUUUAUUUGAGUUCAUGCUCUUGUUUUCUUUUGAUUUAGAGAUAAAGCAGCGUCAUAGCUUGUCUCAAUCCGGUCUAGUGAGGGCCUUACAGAGAAAAAGAGCUGCCACAGAGUCUGGGAAAAGCGCUUUGUCUAAUCUUCCUUGUCAAGAGCCAAUCUUAAUAUAUGUCGAUCAGGAGGAUCUGCCUGAAAGCAAGAGGUCAAAGGAAUCUCUGCAACCUAUGGAACAAACCGAUUUAUUGCAACCUAAAGAGCUAACGAACCGGUCACAAGAGAUUUCCCCUCCUGUGACCUCUCCUGCUCAAGAUAUGCCUCAUGAAGGCCUUCCUCUACAAGCUUCCCCAGAGUCUAAUAUCCGGCACAUUGCAGGAGUGUCAGUUCCUGCAGUUAGCUCGGUUUACUUCAAUACUGCAACAGACAACCUCCCCCCUUCAAAUGCUGAAGUGAGGCAGACAGGAUCCGUGGAGUACACUAUGGAGCAAUCAGUUUUCACUCAUCCUGCUCUUGCAAGGACGCUGAUCAGCCAAAUGGUUCUUCCGCACGACUGUGAUUCGGUGGCUCAGAAGGAUACUUUGGUCAUGGCUCAGGAGCUUAUGUGCCUAGCAAUGGAGGUAAGUCUUGUUCUUCCCAUUUUUAGUAGACGAAGCAAUAUUAAACACGGCAAGGAAGUGAUAAAUAAAACACGAAAUGGCAUGAAAAAACUAAUAUGAACAUGACAUGAAUACACAAUUGCUUCAAAAUCUAGGUAAUAUGAAUUAUUAGCAUAUCAAAAUUUAUAUUUAUAUAACAGUGCGAUUAUGACACAACAAAAUACAUGAAUUGGCGGGGUUUAAUUUUGGAUGCUUGGUUGCUGAUGGGCAGGACGCGACCUGGAAAAUGGCAGUGUCUGAAAAGUUGAUCAAGAUGCAACAUGAGGUCAACAUGUUGAAGGAAGAAAGGAAUGCAUUAAGAGCAGAGCUUGAAUCGCAGAAGAUGGCGGUGACUGAGUGUGAGUCGACAAGGAAAACGACACUGGAGCUCCAAAGGUUGGAGGAGGAGGUUGAACGGCUCGAGAUCAGGUUAAAGGAGACUGAGGAAAAAGCCUGGACAUGGGAGGAUCAGUUCAUUAAGCUAGAGAGGAGGUUGAAACAGGCUGAGGACCGGGCAGCAUCAGCUGAAAGAAAAGUUGUUGUGGCCGACGAAAAAUGGCGGCAGUCUGAAAUGACAAAGUCGAGGGUUGCUGAGGAGACACUUAAGAAUUUCAAGGCUUCCGACGAAUUCCGGCAUGAAGUUGAGGAUUAUCACGCUGAAGCCUACGGCAUGGGGUUAAAUGUCGCCAUCGAGAAGAUCAAGAGGCAAUUUCCAAAUCUAGAUCUAUCGAUUAUCAAUUUUUAUUCCGAGGAUUAAUGAGGAGCCUAUUGAGCUGUGACAGAUUUUCCAGGUUAAUCAUCGUAAACGUACCCCCUAGUCUCGAUCUGUUUGGGGCCAUUUAUUAGAAAUCUACUUAAUUUGUAACUAAGGAAACCUUUAGCAAUGAAGAACUUUAUGACCCAUUUAGUUCAUCCUAAUAAAAUAUAGGAUUGUAAUGGAGUAGUCAUUAUUUGAUAAUGGAAUAUAAUGGAAUUAAAUAGACAUAACAGGUUGAAAUUAAUAGAUAUGUAAUAGCAAAUAAAAACCAACUCUGAAUGUCGAAAUGCCCUUUAAUAAAUUAAAUUAAAUUUUUAUUUUUUAUAAAAGUAUUAAAAAAUCAAAAGUUUUAAAUAUUAAAAUGAUAAUUUUAUCCUUAGAUUAAAUUUAAUUAAUAAGAUAUAAUAUAAAAUAUUUACAUAAAAAUUAAAACAUUAUUAUAUAAAUUAUUCUUGUGUUUAUUUUAUCCUCACCCCUCUCAUUUAAUCACUUUAUAAUUUGUUUUUAAAAGGGAAUAAGAAACACCGGUUGUAUGCACUGAAGGACAAGCUUCAUCAACACAACAAAUGUUUUAGCCUCAACAUCAAUAGAACAUUAUGACAUGUUGACAAUUGGCUCUGUCAUAACUCAAGCACAACAUAUCAAGAAUGAUUGUAAGCACUUAAUACAAAAAAUAAAUCAGCCCCGGAUGGUCCAAAAAGGAGGGCAUAAAUUGGCAAAAGAACCGAGCCUUCACUAAACUAAAGAGGACGUCGACAAAAUCAACCCUAAAAUCACUCACAAAAGCAAGACUAAAAAGCGUACUACAAGAGUAGACAAAAACUUCUAAAAGUGAAGACUUAUUAAAUAAUGGAAAAACAAAAGAAAAAAAAUAUAAAACUUAGAUAACACGAGUACAAACCGGCUCAUAAAAUCAUUUAGUAUUCUAAAGUACUCUCAAAACAGAAAUAGAUUAAGAAGUCAAUACGAGUACAAACCGGCUCAUAAAAUCAUUUAUUAUUCUGAAAUACUCUCAAAACAGAAAUAGAUUAAGAAGUUAAUAAAGAGCUACCCACUUUCUAAAAGAAAUUGCCGGUGGUUGAUAGUGUUUCAACGAUAAUAGGCACCGCCAUCUGUCCGUUACAACUUAUAAAGAUAACAAAGAUACCCAUCUAAUAGAUCUAUAAACUAAAAAUAGAGAAAGCGCAUAGAGUGAAUGUGAAGGCUAACACCGCUAUUGGACAAAAGCAAAAAGAUAAGAAACAAACAACUUGAUUUAAUCACUUUAUAAUUAAUUUACUAUUAUUUAUUGUUUAAUCUAUAUUAAAAAUAAUACAAUAUAUAAAAUUUUUGUAUAGAGUAUAAAAGAAUCAUUUAAUGGGUAAAUCCAUACCCAUUUCUUCUCUUCUUCAAUUUACUCUCUCCCUUAACCCCUCUCCCCUCUCUCGUAACAAUAUCAUAAAUUUUGAGAAACCCAAAUCAAAGUUAUCAAAUAUUUAAACAUAUUUUCCAAUCUUUAAGAUUAGGAUUUGAAACUCAACUUUCUACAACCAAAAAGCAAUCUUGAUGUCUGCAAAUUUUUUUCUCCCCAAUUUGGUUCAACGAAAUGAGUUGAAGCAAAAAGAAGAAUGAAACUAAAACUUCUCCAAAAAUAGUGAAAGAAAAGUGAUUCAACUUGUAAAUUCAUUAUUUUUUGAAGGGAACGUUGGGAAGAAAUAUUUUUAAUCUAUUCAUGGUUUUACCUAAUAACCAAUUUAGCAUCUUUUCUCCUGAAUGGCCAUUCAGCAACUUUUCAGAAUAAUUUUGAAAUAAUUUAUUCAACGUUUUUAACAUUCGUUGAACUAAACAUAUGUUUUACUGUUUAAUUUUGAACCGUCCCAUGAUAAUAAUACUAUUACAUUAAACCAAACAUACUCUUACCACAAAUCCAUGUUACAUGUUCUUAUCUUACUGUGUUCAAUAUUUCAGUGUUUUUAGAGUUUCUACAGCAUAUUAUGAAACUUAAAAUUCAAGUCGAAAGCACUCUUAGGUCCAUGCAACUGAGUAGUGUUAGGCUCACGACUCACGAGUUCUAUGUCCCUUGAAGUUGGAUGUGUCGGCUCGAAAUGAGCAUUUAUUAUUAUUAUUAUUAUUAUUAUUCCUAUAGUUUUUUUUUUUUAGAAAAAAUUACAACUCAAAAAUUAAACAUUAAAUAAACUUGAAACAUUAUCCUGGUCAAUCAACCGCAAUCCUGGUUUCCUAUCUAUUUUGAUCUUAACUAUUUUAUCUGCAAUUUCAUUCUUUUUUCUUGGGAUAUGUUGAAGAUUACAGUGACUUAGUAACUUUAAACUCAAAAAAAUUCUCGUAAUUAAGGCAAAAUUAAAACCUUCUCGAAUUUCUUCAUGAAUAAUGUUAACCGCUUCAAAAUUAUCUGUCUGAAUAUGUGUUGAAAUAUCAUAGGUUAUUCCCUUAACUUUGCAUUUAUUUUCUAACACAAAUGUACACCUAGUUGACGAUGUAAUUCAUGUUCAAUGAUUAAGAAAUUGAAUUAAACUGUUGUUGCUGAUUCUAUCCAAUAUUAAUAGUUUGAUUAUCCAAUAAAUAUAUAAAAUUGAAUAAUUAGCAAAGUCAUAAAGCAAAAUAAAUUGAUUAUUAAAAUUCAUUUUAUUAGUAUUUAAAUUUAGCCUCUAAAAUUUAUGAUAAAACAGCAUGGUACCAUGGAAAGUAAUCACUCCUAAGAAUUUAAUUGGUGGAACGUUGGAUAUAUAUUAGAAAUGUAACUCUUCCUGUUUGGUUGAUGAAAAGUUGAAAUAUGACAUGUGAUUCCAAUAUUUGAUAAAAAAAUAAUUUAUUUUCUUUUAGGCAAGCAAAAAAAAUGAUUUCUUUGAUAAUUAAUUAGAAUUAUACCGUAAAAAUAAUCACAUUCCCAAAAGUCACAUUUCAUUAAAAUUUUACCAUAAAAAUUGUACCAAACACAAAUGCAUAUUUCUAUUUAAUAGUUAAUAUAUAUAAUAUCUAAUUAUAUACAAUAUCAAUACAUAAUUAUAUUAUGAAGUAUAUGUUAGAUUAAGUUAACAAAGGAAAAGUAUAAUUAGUAUUGGCACAUUUUAAGAAAGGACUAAAUUGGAAAGAAAUUAAAUUAAAUAUAUGAUAAAUAAAAUUAUGAUGCAAAAAAUAUGUGGUUGCAAUGUAUGCAGACUUCGAAGCUAAAAAUGAUUAGUAACCCUGUCCAAGUUCCAAAACUAUGAAUGAGGUAUUUAUACAUUUUUUUUUAAAUCAUAAAAUUACUUUAAAAUAUUUUGGAAAAAGAACCUAAGAUUCUUUAAUUGAAAUUUUAAUAAAAGAAUAUAAAAUUUUUAGAAUGAGAUUUGAUAUCAUAUGGAAUCUCGAUAAAAUCAGAAAAGAAAGCAAGAGUUAGAGACUGUAACUAAAAAUUUAAUGUGACAUUCUUUAUUCGUAUUUGUUAAAAAUCGGAUAUGGAGUGUUACAUUAGACAUAAAUUUUAGGUUGAAUUACACAUUUAAUCCCUAUAUUUUUUUCUUUUAAAGCAAUUUAAUUCUUUUUCUUUUCUUUUCUUUUAUUUUAACACUCACUUUCAUUUCUUUUUUUUUCCUUUUUUUUUCUUAAAUUUUCUCUUUUCUUUUUCAUUACAAAAUAUUUAUAAAAUAAAGGAGAUCAACUUAAUUUGUUGAUUGAUAUUAUUAUAUUUUAAACUAGGCAUGAAUUAUAGUAAACUACUCAAGCCCAAUCAAUAAAAUUAAACCUAAAUACAAUUUCUAAAAAUUGGAAUCCCUAACAAAAUUUAAUUCAUCUAAAAGAUAAAUAUGAAACCUUAAAAAUAAUAUUGUUAGAAGAAAUUAUCACGAAUCCCAAAUAUAAAUUAUAAAAUAAACAUGAAAAAGUUAGAAUAAACUCAUAUUAUACGCAAAAAAAUAUAUUGUUCUCUUACCUUUUAUCAAUUCCCAUUACUUGGUUUUUUUGUUGGGGUUUCACUUUUCUCUGAAGCCUCAUCUCUUACAAAUUAACUCAACCAUUGGCUAUGAAUUUUUUGUUCAUUGGUGAUGAGCAAAACCGACCGUGUUAGGUUUAGUGGUUUAAUUGGUUAGAAAACGUGUUUGAAAAAUGUAGCAAAAAAUAAGUUUAAGGAAAAAAUUAGAGUUUUAAAUUUUUUUUCUAAAAAUAAGAAUUUGGUUGUGAUAUUUAAAAUAAUAAACACUUAAUUAAAAUUAUAUUUUUUCAAUUCGUUUAAGAUUAACGCUUCUAUCCUUAAGUUCACCUCUGCCGAGUGUGGGCUCGCUUCGAAUCAGAAAAAUUUUUCACAAAAUUGCUAGUGAGGUAAUUUCACAAAUUUUCUAACUUCCAGGCCAAGUUAUAAAUAAAAUAUAUCUAUAAAAAUCUUUUAAAAUAAUUUUUUUUAGAGAAUUUUCUCUCUACAACUUUCUCUUGAAUUUAAGUCUAUGAAAAAUAAUUACCGAAAACUCUCUUAAUAUAGGGGGAGUUUAGAGAGUUCAAUUAGGAUCAAACUUAAUUACUUUAAUAUUAAUUUAAUAUAAUAUUUAUCUUGAUAAGUAUUAGAUUAAAUUUAAUAUUAAAAUAAUAAUUUUAAUAUCAAAUUAAUAAAAUACUAUCAAGAUAAGUAUUAUAUUAAUUUAAUAUUAAAUUUAUUAAAAUAUUAUUAUUUUUGUAAUAGUUAAUCUGAAAUCAAAUUAUUCGGUAGAGCCUCAAUAGAAGUAUAAUUCUUCUGCUACUCAACCGUCGGAGAACCACUAUCGCCAACUACUGAAAUAUCAUCGUUGUAGCCGUUGGCACCGUUGUGCCUGAUGUUGUCAUCGCAGGUGCAACACCCUCAUGACACCCCGAGUCAGUUUGGAUUUUGUUGGUUUGAUUUGAGCCAAUGACGGUUCGAUCGGUCCGGUUCAGCCACUGGUUGAACCACCUGCCCAGUUCACAUACAUUGAGCUUGGUUCGACCAAUUUUGGGUUUCGAUCUCAAUUUUUUAUUCUCGAUUCCAAUUUCGAUCUUAAGUCUAAUUUUAAAGUUCAAUUAUCCAUUGGGCCAAUUGUUUGACUUAGAAAAUUAAUUUUCAAAAUAUUAUAUUUAUUUUAAUUAAUUUGAUUAAUUUAAUUUUUAUUGAUCAAAAUUAAUUUUCCCAAAAAUCACUAAAAGUUUAUAAAAUUGAUUUUUCAAGAUAAUUCUUUAAUCAAAAUUUCUAGUUAAACAAUUUUCAUGACCAACCAAUUUAAUUUCAUAUAAAUUAAAUCGACUCAAUUAAAUUAGUUCCAAAUUCAUAUAAUUUUCUUUUGAUUUAAAUUUAGUCUGAUCGAGUUUUUGUUGAGCUAAUGGAGAGACCAAUCAAAUAUAUACAAUUAAGCUCUUGUAAUUGUAAUUAUGUUCAGCAGUAUCGUUUCGAUAAUUCACAAUUUACUUAAUAUGGAGUCAGUCCACAAAAAGUAUAAUAAUUGAAAACUCCUUAUUGUAUACUUUUAGGAAAGCAAUUCAUCCAAUUGUUUUGUCUAAUGACCUCAUAAUGUGUGUGUCACCCUUAUAUGAUAUUCUUAAUUCAUUUGAGCUAAAUCCGUUCAAUUAGUACAAUCCUAUUUUUUCUCAUUGUCACUAUUGUAUCUUUUUAAUGAUUAAUAUGAUCGCUGUCAACAAAUGAUUAUGAUAAAUUGCUCAUUUGAGAACAAGUGUAAUGGCCUAAAUUCAAGGUUAUCGGAACAAUAGUUUCGUAACCAUAGAUCCGAUUUAAAGAGAAAUUUAUUUUAAUAUUUUUGCUUGAAAAUUUAUAUGAUAGGAAAAUUUUAUCGAUUUAGUGAUUAGUUAGAAAAAAAAAUUAUUGAAGAAAUUGGGUAAAAUAAGGUAUCGGGACCUCUAUCUCGUAAAACCGAGUCAAAAAUAAUUUUAUAAAUAUUUAUGAAAUGUUAUUAAUGUGGUAUUAAAAUUUCGUUAGGAAAUUUUAAUGUUUGGGUAGUCAAUUAAAUGAAAAGGACUGAAUUGUAAUAGGUGUAAAAGUUGCUAGAGUGAUUAAAUAGCUUAUUAGUCUAAAGAUAAAGGAUUUAAAAGGCAAUUAGACCCAAAAGUUAUUUGGGCUAGACGGCAAGGGUAUGAAAUCAGCAGAAAAAUUGAUAAAUUAAGGGUAAAAUUGGAAUAUUGCAAAAUUAACUAAAUAAAACUAGGACUAAAUAGGAAAUAUCUAGAUUUCUCUUCAUUUCUCUUCAAUUCCAGCAGCUAAAAACGCCAUAGGAGGGUUCUCUAAGCUGGUAUUUCAUAAUUUUUGUACCAAGUGAGUUAAUCCUUGCCUUUUUCUUGUAAUUUUUGUGUUUCUAAGACUUUUACAACUAGAUCCUACUAUUAAAUUCAUUAGUUUUUGAUUUCAUGGAUGAAAUUUAAAGUCCCCAUGGUUGAGUGCUGUAAGUUUAUGAUGAAAUAGAAUGAAAUUAAAGCUUUAAUUUGUUUAUGAGAUGAUUUUAUUAGGCAAUUUCAAUGGAAAUUGAUUUUUGGGACCUAAUUGUGAAAAUGUUUGGAAUUAAAGUCUAUUGCUGAAAUUCUGAUUCCUAAAGGUUGUAAACUAGUUUAAGGUGAUAGAAUAAAAUGUUAAUUGAGAAAAAUAAGCUCAAUUGAGAGGCUAAUUGAGUAGGGACGAAAUUAUCAUUUAUUAAAAGCUUAGGGGAAAAAUAGUAAUAAACAGCUUGCACUAAAACAGUUUGGACAGCAGCAGUAGAUUAACUUUGAAAAAUCACCAAAAAUUGUAGGAAUCGAAUUAGAAGAUGAAAAAAAAUAUGGAAUUAAAACUUAUUGAGUCUAGUUUCUCAUAGAAGAAAUAUUGUAAGCAAUGGAUUUGUAGAUUUUGAGAUAUAAUGAAUUUUGUGAGACAAUGUUAGAAUGAAUUCGAGUUUCCCUGUUCUGAAUUUGAAAAAUUAUAAAAAAUUGAAUAAAAAUAAUUAGGGACUUAAAUUUAUAUUUCUAGAAUUCUGAAUGAGUCUAUUUUUAAUAGAAACAAACAAGAACAUCAUUUGAAUUCUGUAUAAAGAGAUAACGUAUUUUUAGUGAAGAAGGGUCAGAACUGUUAGACAAUAGAACAGGGGUGACUUUAAAGAAUAAACUGUACUUAUUGGAUAAACUAAAAAUUCUGAAAUUUUUAUGGUAAAAAUAUAUAUGAGUCUAGUUUUAUGGAAAAUUAACGGAUCUUAAUUUGGAGAUCCGUAGCUCAAGUUAUAAAUAAUUUAGUGACUAUGACUCAAGUAGACAGCUUUGAAUGAACUAUAAAUAAUAGUUGAAUUAUAAAGAAUGUUGCAUAUGAACAUGAAAUGUAUUAAAUUGAUAAUUAAAUUUAUUUAUUUAGAUCCGGAAGAUUCAAAUACGAAGCUAGAUCGAGGAAAGGAAAAAGUUCGGGAUUAGUAGAUUUUUACUGUUUACAAACAAGUAUCAAGGUAAGUUCAUGUAACUUGAAUUAUAUUCUUAAAUGCUUGAGAUUGUAUGUUAUUUAUGUGAAUAUGAUUUGAAUGUUCAUUGUAUGAAAAUUUAUGAAACAUUGAUAUAUUUGAUAAAACGGGAAGAAAUCCCAUUUGAAUGAAAGGAAAAUUCGAUGGAUCUCUGAAAAGGAAUUGACGGUAAAAAGGAUCUAGCCCGGACGGGUGAUCCUAUCCUGAUAUAGCCCUCCCGAAGAAUAUGUGUAAAAUGGAUUUAGCCCGGACGGGUAAUCCGAAUUAGGGUCUGAAUUUAGCCUGGACUGGUAAUUCAGAUCCAAGCUCAUUAGAGUAAUUAUCGUUACAGGGGAUUUAGCCUGGACUGGUAAUCCCGACAAUACUCUAUGAGUUUAUAUUGCAGGGGAUUUAGCCUGGACUGGUAAUCCCGCUGCAAGGUUGAGGUUCGCGGGAGUGUGCUCUCUGAAAUGGAAAUGUGCGCACAUGAAUAUGAAUUGACGGACCCGGAAUUGUACACUAAAAGUGUACCUCUGAAAAUCCAUCGAAAUUCCAAUAAAUUCAACGGGAUAAAUAUGGAAAAAUAACAAGGAAAUGGAAAUCAUGGUAUUGACGAGCUCAUCAAUCAUCGUAUAUAUAUUAUUGAUACAUGGAAAUUAUUGUACUAACUUGAAUGUUGAGUUUGUGCAUGUUAGGGUAAUAAUGUAUUGAAUGGAUAUAUGAAUGUUUAUUAUAUUGUAUUGAAAAUAUUUGGUAAGUAUAACUCUUGUUAUAUGAGCUUACUAAGCACAAAGUGCUUACCCUGUUUCCUUUUUCCCUGUUUUGUAGUGUUAAGAGCUCGGAGGUCGGAUUUGGUCGGAGAUACAUCACACUGUCAACCUCAGGAUUUCGGUAUAUAAAGAAACUUUAUUUUGGAAAUCAAUGGCAUGUAUAAGCUAACAAAGUAAAUGUUAACGUGAAAUGAAUGUAAAGUUAGCCAUUAGUAUGGUUAACAAACCUGGUUAUAGAUAAGUGAUGACGUUAUCUUAUAUAAAUGCAUGAAUCUAUCAUGAAAAUAUGUUGAAUUGAAAAAAAAAUUAAUUCGUAAACUCCGGUAAUGCCUCGUACCUUAUUCCGGCAAUGAAUACGGGUAGGGGUAUUACAUUUAUUGGUAUCAGAGCUACGGUUUAGCCGGUUCUAGGACUGAUGUAGCAAAUACAGGAUUAGCUAUACAUGCCAUUUAAAUUAUUAUUGAUAGUGUGAUAUCUCCUGACCAUUUAAAAUGUGUUUUUCUUAUAGUAAUGUCAUCCGACCGAGCUCAAUCUGAGGAAGCUAGGAGUCAUGCUCCGGCUUCAGUACAAAGAGAAGAAACUAGUAGUAGAAGGCCCGAGACAGAGGGUCGAGGGGAGGAGGCAAAAACAGCCUUCUUUCAAAUGAUGAAUGAAUUGUUUAAUCAAUACUUAAGAACUAACCCUGUAGUGCAGCAAGUUCAAGCUCCCCCUCCUGCUCCUUCACCGGUUCCCGAGAUCCCACAAGGUACAGGUACUGAAUCUGUCAAAAAAAGGGAAAGCUCCAGUAGAUAAAAUUCGAAAAUAUGGGGCCGAAGAAUUUCGAGCAGCAAUUGAUGAUGAUUCCGAACGGGCUGAAUUCUGGUUAGAAAAUACUACUCGGGUUCUGGAAGAAUUAUCUUGUACACCAGAAGAAUGUUUGAAAUGUGCCGUCUCACUGCUAAAAGAUACAGCUUACCAUUGGUGGAAUACUAAAGCUUCAGUUGUUCCGAAAGAAGAAAUUACAUGGGAAUUCUUUCAGACCGAGUUCAGAAAAAAAUAUAUCAGCCCGAGGUUCCUUGACCAGAAAAGAAAAGAAUUUCUUGAGCUAAAACAGGGCAAUAGAUCAGUAUCUGAAUAUGAAAGAGAAUUUGUUUGAUUGAGUAAAUAUGCUCGAGAAUGGGUACAGUCAGAAGUUGAAAUGUGUAAACGAUUCGAAGAAGGGUUGAAUGAAGACAUUAAGUUACUGAUCGGAAUUCUUGAAAUUCGAGAGUUUGCUACAUUGGCAGAGAGAGCUUAUAAAGCAGAAGAAUUGAGCAAAGAAAAGAAACAGGCUGAGAGGGAAGCUCGAAUUUUUAGUAAAAGACCGAUGGGAAAAUCCCAGUUUUCUGCUUCAAAGAAAUUGAAGAAAUAUCAGGAUCGUUCUACUUCAGCCAUUGGGUAUUCGGGCAAAGAACGAGGUUCUCUACGCACUAAUCCAAGGCCUUCUACUCCAUCAGUGACCAAUGUUGGCAGUGUUGGCACUCCUAAACCGAGAUGCCAGUACUGUAAUAAAGCUCAUUUUGGUGAAUGCCGAUUUAAGAGUGGGGCUUGUUACCGAUGUGGUUCUUUUGACCAUUUCCUCAGAGAUUGUCCUAAAAGGGUUGAAAAAGAAGUUGAACAUAUAUCGAAGCCGAGUAAUCUAGUUUCGAGGGGCAGACCACGUUCCAUAUUUAUCAAUCAACACAAUGUCAAUGAGAGGAUAUGUUAACUCUUUAAAUGAGCUAUGAAUUCCAUUAUUACUAGUAAAGUCAUGUCAUACACAAGUCAUGUACCCAACAUACCUGCUAUGCGCUUGAUCAUCUUUUGAGCAUAAGUCACCACUUAUAUCAAAACACAUGAGUUAUAUACGCAUGAUCAGUUACUAACUCAGGAUUUAGAUAAAUCACACCAUGAAUAUGACAAGUGAAUUAAUUCACAAACAGAUUCAAGAUUAAUUCAACUUGGGUUUAAUCCAAUGUAUCAUUCUUCCUAUGAAUAUAUCUAUAUCUCUACCCAUGGAGUCAAAUGUUAUGAUAGCCAAUACUAGCCAACUCCCCAAUUGGAAUUAUAGGCAACAUAAUAAUUCUUUUAAGUAUUUAAAUCAAAUACUCACUUUUAUUCUUUUACGAGAUUAAUGACAUGUUUAAAUUCUUUGCUGAAGUAAGUUGUCUUUCUCGCAAUGUAAACGUUCUUACAAUGCCACUUAUCAUCAGUUUGAACUUAGAUAACCAAUGAACUAAUAUUUAUUUGUCACAAUUAUGCUAUGUGUAAUACCCCCUACCUGUAUUCAUUGUCGGAAUAGGGUACGAGGUAUUACCGGAGUUUACGAAUUUAUUUAUUAUUAUUUUUUUUAGGAAAACUCAAUAUAAUCCCUUUACAGAUAUCAAAUCUUCCCUGCAAUAUUAUAUCGAGACCAAUCCAAAUCAACCAAUCCAAUUCAACAUAUUUUCAAGGUAAAUUCAUGCAUAUUUAUAAAAUAACGUCAUCACAUACCCAAAAUCAGGUUUGUUAACCAUACCAAUGGCUAACUCUACAUUCAUUUCACAGAAUCAUUUACUUUAUUAGCUUAUACAUGCCAUUGAUUUCCAAAAUAAAGUUUCUUUAUAUACCGAAGUCCUGAGGUUGAUAGUGUGAUGUGUCUCCAACCAAAUCUGACCUCCGAGCUCUUAACACUACAAAACAGGGAAAAAAGAAAUGGGGUAAGCACUUUGUGCUUAGCAAGCUCAUGUAACAAGAAUUAUACUUACCUAAUAUUUUCAAUACAAUACAAUAAACAUUCCUAUAUCCAUUCAAUGCAUUAUUACCCUAAUAUGCACAAACUCAACAUUCAAGUUAGUACAAUAAUUUCCAUGUACCAAUAAUAUAUACUAUGAUUGAUGAUUGAUGUGUUCAUCCAAUACCAUGAUUUCCAUUUCCUUGUUAUUUUUCCAUAUUUAUCCCGUUGAAUUUAUCGGAAUUUCGAUGGAUUUUUAGAGGUACACUUUUAGUGUACAAUUCCGGUUCCGUAAAUUCAUAUUCAUGUGCGCACAUAUCCAUUUCAGAUAGCACACUCCCGCGAACCUCAACCUUGCAGCGGGAUUACCAGUCCAGGCUAAAUCCCCUGCAAUAUAAACUCAUAGAGUAUUGUCGGGAUUACCAGUCCAGGCUAAAUCCCCUGUAACGACAAUUACUCUAAUGAGCUUGGAUUUGAAUUACCAGUCCAGGCUAAAUUCAGACCCUAAUUCGGAUUACCCGUCCGGGCUAAAUCCAUUUUACACAUAUUCUUCGGGAGGGCUACAUCAAGAUAGGAUCACCCGUCCGGGCUAGAUCCUUUUUACCGUCAAUUCCUUUUUAGAAAUCCAUCGAAUUUUCCUUUCAUUCAACCGGGAUUUCUUCCCAUUUUAUCAAAUAUAUCAAUGUUUCAUAAAGUUCCAUAUAAUGAACAUUCAAAUCAUAUUCAUAUCAAAAACAUACAAUCUCAAGCAUUUAAGAAUAUAAUUCAAGUUACACGAACUUACCUUGAUACUUGUUUGUAAACAAAAAAAAUCUACUAAUCCCGAACUUUUUCCUUUCCUCGAUCUAGCUUCGUAUUUGAAUCUUCUGGAUCUAAAUAAAUAAAUUUAAUUAUCAAUUUAAUACAUUUCAUGUUCAUAUGCAACAUUCUCUAUAAUUCAACUAUUAUAAAUAGUUCAUUCAAAGCUGUCUACUUGAGUCAUAGUCAUUAAAUUAUUUUUAUCUUGAGAUACAGAACACCAAAUUAGGAUCCGAUAAUUUUUCCUGAAACUAGACUCACAUAUGUUGUUACCAUAAAAUUUUAAGAAUUUUUGGUUUAUCCAAUCAGUACAGUUUAUUCUUUAAAGUCACUCUUGUUCUGCUGUUGACAGUUCUGACACUUCUUCACUAAAAAUUAAUUAUCUCUUCAUAAAGAAUUCAAAUGAUGUUCUCGUUUGUUUCUAUUAAAAAUAUACUCAUUAAGGAUUCUAUAAAUAUAAAUUUAAGCCCCUAAUUGUUUUUCUUAAAUUUUUUAUGAUUUUUCAAAUUCAGAAUAGGGGAAUCCGAAUUCAUUCUGACCUUGUCUCAGAAAAUUCAUUAUAUCUCAAAAUUUACAAAUCCAUUGCUUACACUAUUUCUUCUAUGAGAAACUAGACUCAAUAAGCUUUAAUACCUUAUUUUUUUCAUCUUCUAAUUAGAUUUCUACAAUUUAUGGUGAUUUUUCAAAGUUAGUCUACUGCUGCAGUCCAAACUGUUUUUGUGCAAGCUGUUUAUUACCAUUUUUCCCCUAAGCUUUUAAUAAAUGAUAAUUUCGUCCCUACUCAAUUAGCCUCUCAAUUGAACUGAUUUUCCUCAAUUAAUAUUUUAUUCUAUCACCUUAAACUAGUUUAAAACCUUUAGGAAUCAUAAUUUCAGCAGUAGACUUUAAUUCCAAGCAUUUUCACAAUUAGGUCCUAAAAAUCAAUUUCUAUUGAAAUUACCUAAUAAAAUCAUAUCAUAAAACAAAUUAAAGCUUUAAUUUCAUUCUAUUUCAUCAUAAACUUACAGCACUCAACCAUGGUGACUUUCAAUUUCAUCCAUGAAAUCAAAAACUAAUGAAUUUAAUAGUAGGACCUAGUUGUAAAAGUCUUAGAAACACAAAAAUUGCAAGAAAAAGGCAAGGAUUAACUUACUUGGUGCAAAAAUUAUGAAAUACCAGCUUAUAAAACCCUCAUAUGGCGUUUUUAGCUGCUGUAAUUGAAGAGAAAUGAAGAUAAAUCUAAAUAUUUCCUAUUUAGUCCUAGCUUUAUUUAGUGAAUUUUGCAAUAUUCCGAUUUUACCCUUAAUUUAUCAAUUUUUCUGCUGAUUUCAUACCCUUACAGUCCAGCCCAAAUAACUUUUGGGUAUAAUUUCCUUUUAAAUCCUUUCUCAUUAGACUCUUAAGCUAUUUAAUCAUUCUAGCAACUUUUACACCUAUUACAAUUUAGUCCUUUUCAUUUAAUGGACUACCCAAACAUUAAAAUUUCCUAACGAAAUUUUAAUACCACACUAAUAACAUUUCAUAAAUAUUUAUAAAAUUAUUUUCGACUCGGUUUUACAAGAUAGAGGUCCUGAUAUCUUGUUUUUACCCAAUUUCUUCAAUAAUUUCUUUUUCUAACUAACCACUAAAUCGGUAAAAUUUUUCUAUCAAUAUUUUCAUAUGAUUUUCCUAUCAUAUCAAUUUUCAUGUAAAAAUAUUGAAAUAAAUUUCUCUUUAAAUCAGAUUUGUGGUUACGAAACCAUUGUUUCGAUAACCUUGAAUUUAGGCCAUUACAACUCUCCCCCCUUUUAGGAUUUUCGUCCUCGAAAAUCUUACCAGUAAAGAGAUUUGGGUAUUGUUUCCUUAUUGCCUCCUCUGGUUCCCAUGUCACUUCCUCAAUCCCAUGCUUUUGCCACAAUACUUUCACCAAAUUUAUAUUUUUAUUUCAAAGCUAUUUUGUCUCCCGUGCCAAUAUCUUGACCGGUUCUUCACUGUAAGUCAUAUCCGAUUGAAUCUCUACUUCUGUUGGAGAAAUAACAUGUGAAUGAUCUGAUUGAUAUCGUCGUAACAUAGAUACAUGAAAAACAUUAUGGAUUCUAUCAAGUUCCGGUGGUAAUGCCAAUCGAUAAGCGACCGGUCCAAUUCUUUCUAUGAUUUCAUAACGUCCGAUAAAUCUUGGACUCAGUUUACCCUUUCGACCGAAUCGGAGGACUUUCUUCCAAGGAGACACUUUCAGGAAUACCUUGUCACCGACUUGAAAUUCAAUCUCUUUUUGUUUAAGGUCGGCAUAUGAUUUUUGACGAUCGAAAGCUGCUUUUAGACUAUCCCGAAUAACCUUUACUUUUUCUUCU
RNAcentral lists this long non-coding RNA (27302 nucleotides) under Gossypium barbadense (sea-island cotton). Its description in RNAcentral is "long non-coding RNA (GBAR_LNC011887)". Lineage: Eukaryota; Viridiplantae; Streptophyta; Magnoliopsida; Malvales; Malvaceae. The record is from RNAcentral.